Molecule: long non-coding RNA, 1047 nt
Filed under: Oryctolagus cuniculus (rabbit)
Lineage: Eukaryota; Metazoa; Chordata; Mammalia; Lagomorpha; Leporidae
Description: lncRNA (ENSOCUG00000033106.1)
Source: RNAcentral
AUGAACGCGAGCCCGGCUCCUCAGGGCGUCCUGUGGGGGCCUGCGCCUGGCUGUGCCCCCAGCACUGUCACCUGGGCUCCUCCGGGUGUCCUGUGGGGGCCUGCGCCUGGCUAUGCCCCCAGCACUGUCACCUGGGCUCCUCUGGGCGUCCUGCGGGGACUGCGCCUGGCUGUGCCCCCAGCGCUGUCAUGUGGGCUCCUCAGGGCGUCCUGUGGGGACUGCGCCUGGCUGUGCCCCCAGCACUGUCACCUGGACUCCUCAGGGCGUCCUGUGGGGGCCUGCGCCUGGCUGUGCCCCCAGCUCUGUCACCUGGGCUCCUCAGGGCGUCCUGUGGGGGCCUGCGCCUGGCUAUGCCCCCAGCACUGUCACCUGGGCUCCUCUGGGCGUCCUGCGGGGCCUGCGCCUGGCUGUGCCCCCAGCGCUGUCAUGUGGGCUCCUCAGGGCGUCCUGCGGGGACUGCGCCUGGCUGUGCCCCCAGCACUGUCACCUGGACUCCUCAGGGCGUCCUGUGGGGGCCUGCGCCUGGCUGUACCCCCAGCUCCUCCGGGCAUCCUGCGGGGCCUGCGCCUGGCUGUGCCCCCAGCGCUGUCACCUGGGCUCCUCUGGGCGUCCUGCGGGGACUGUACCUGGCUGUGCCCCCAGCUCCUCAGGGCAUCCUGUGGGGCCUGCGCCUGGCUGUACCCCCAGCUCCUCCGGGCAUCCUGCGGGGCCUGCGCCUGGCUGUGCCCCCAGCGCUGUCACCUGGGCUCCUCUGGGCGUCCUGCGGGGCCUGUGCCUGGCUGUGCCCCCAGCUCCUCAGGGCAUCCUGUGGGGCCUGCGCCUGGCUGUACCCCCAGCUCCUCCGGGCAUCCUGCGGGGCCUGCGCCUGGCUGUGCCCCCAGCGCUGUCACCUGGGCUCCUCUGGGCGUCCUUUGGGGCCUGUGCCUAGCUGUGCCCCAGCACUGUCACCUCUGCCAUCAGGAUCACACUGCAAACAGGAGGCCUUGGGUCAAGAUCUCUUUAUGCUUAUUUCCCAUCUCUCCAGAUGAGAACAGGAAUCACGCGUAG